RNAcentral lists this ribosomal RNA (253 nucleotides) under uncultured bacterium. Its description in RNAcentral is "partial 16S ribosomal RNA". It matches the Rfam family "Archaeal small subunit ribosomal RNA", at positions 474 to 727 of the family's 1478-position model. The record is from RNAcentral.
UACCAGCACCCCGAGUGGUCGGGACAAUUAUUGGGCCUAAAGCAUCCGUAGCCGGUUCUACAAGUCUUCCGUUAAAUCCACCUGCUUAACAGAUGGGCUGCGGAAGAUACUAUAGAGCUAGGAGGCGGGAGAGGCAAGCGGUACUCGAUGGGUAGGGGUAAAAUCCGUUGAUCCAUUGAAGACCACCAGUGGCGAAGGCGGCUUGCCAGAACGCGCUCGACGGUGAGGGAUGAAAGCUGGGGGAGCAAACCGG